RNAcentral lists this ribosomal RNA (468 nucleotides) under uncultured bacterium. RNAcentral's name for it is "partial 16S ribosomal RNA". It matches the Rfam family "Bacterial small subunit ribosomal RNA", at positions 28 to 507 of the family's 1533-position model. The record is from RNAcentral.
GACGAACGCUGGCGGCGUGCUUAACACAUGCAAGUCGAACGGAAAGGCCCUGCUUUUGUGGGGUGCUCGAGUGGCGAACGCGUGAGUAACACGUGAGUAACCUGCCCUUGACUUUGGGAUAACUUCAGGAAACUGGGGCUAAUACCGGAUAGGAGCUCCUGCUGCAUGGUGGGGGUUGGAAAGUUUCGGCUGUUGGGGCUGGACUCGCGGCUUAUCCGCUUGUUGGUCGGGUAGUUGCUGACCAAGGCUUUGACGGGUAGCCGGCCUGAGAGGGUGACCGGCCACAUUGGGACUGAGAUACGGCCCAGACUCCUACGGGAGGCAGCAGUGGGGAAUAUUGCACAAUGGGCGGAAGCCUGAUGCAGCAACGCCGCGUGCGGGAUGACGGCCUUCGGGUUGUAAACCGCUGUCGCCUGUGACGAAGCGUGAGUGACGGUAAUGGGUAAAGAAGCACCGGCUAACUACGUG